RNAcentral lists this ribosomal RNA (253 nucleotides) under uncultured bacterium. Its description in RNAcentral is "partial 16S ribosomal RNA". It matches the Rfam family "Bacterial small subunit ribosomal RNA", at positions 524 to 776 of the family's 1533-position model. The record is from RNAcentral.
UACGGAGGGGGCUAGCGUUGUUCGGAAUUACUGGGCGUAAAGCGCGCGUAGGCGGCUUUGUAAGUUAGAGGUGAAAGCCCGGAGCUCAACUCCGGAACUGCCUUUAAGACUGCAUCGCUAGAAUUGUGGAGAGGUGAGUGGAAUUCCGAGUGUAGAGGUGAAAUUCGUAGAUAUUCGGAAGAACACCAGUGGCGAAGGCGACUCACUGGACACAUAUUGACGCUGAGGUGCGAAAGCGUGGGGGGCAAACAGG